UUUUAAACCUCAAGUAUAUAUUUAGGCCACCUCUACCCUUUUACCCUCUGUAAUAUGCAAUAUAGAUAUGUUUUAAUUUAAUUUUAGAAACACAGAAAAAUCAGAUAAGUUUUAGAAACUAUAUGUAACUGUCAAAAAUGUGUUCAAGAAAUAGAAAAGGAAAGAAAGAAAAGCACAUUCAAGAACAUUAUCUUUAAAGAAAAUGAGGUUCUCAAGUAAAUAACAUAAGGAUAAGUUUAUUGUAUGUUAGCUAUGGCAAACAAAGAUCAGAAUGAAAGAAGUCUGAUUAAUUAGUUUCCAGUCUCAUACCUGUUCAAGCUCUUAUGAUGAAAUUGCAAAAAGGUGCUCCUCUUGUUGCCCUUCCUCUGUAAAUGCUGCAAAAGGCUCUUUCUCUUUAUAAUACUGUUGUUUUUCCAAGAAAGAGCCUUCUUUCUUCUCUCUUCUAUACUUAUGUCUUCUUUGAUCAGCAAAACCUUUGUGUUCUUACAGAAACAAAGCUGCAACUCCUCCCUGAUCUAUGCUCUGAAAUCAACAACAAUUCUGAAGUACGUAAUGCAUUAAUUCAAAGCAUAUGACUUUUUCGAACUUGAACCGGAAGUUAAUUUACUUUAAUCCUAUAUUUAGCUGUAGUUCUUUCUAUAUUUAGCAUAGUUCUUGACCUUAACAAACUCUCCACCAUUUAUGAUCUGUCUAACCAGCACAUCUACAUGUAAUAUAUUCAGAUCUUGUAUUUAUUUUCUCAUGUUUUAAUUAAUGAUUUAUUAAUGCAAGGUUUACUUACUGGUCUGUAUGACUAACUACUGAUGGCAAUCUUUUCUUGUUGAACAAACAGCUGUUUAUCUUAUUUCACCACCCCUGUUCUCCCUCUGUUAUCAUUGGCACUUUCAACCCCCAAAGGUCAUCUUUAAAAUCCAUGUCAGACAAGGGGUUUACGAACAUUCUAUCUAAGAUGGCCUCCCUCUCUGUUUUUCAUCUUCUGUAAUCAUAUACAUGAAUAAAUGCC
RNAcentral lists this long non-coding RNA (1003 nucleotides) under Ricinus communis (castor bean). RNAcentral describes it as "long non-coding RNA (RCOM_LNC003000)". The record is from RNAcentral. Lineage: Eukaryota; Viridiplantae; Streptophyta; Magnoliopsida; Malpighiales; Euphorbiaceae.